Molecule: long non-coding RNA, 96 nt
Organism: Fundulus heteroclitus (mummichog)
Lineage: Eukaryota; Metazoa; Chordata; Actinopteri; Cyprinodontiformes; Fundulidae
Exons: 4
Source: RefSeq, a predicted model, not a curated record
GGGGAAUGUCAACUGAGAGUUCAGGUGGAAUGUCAACUGAGAGUGCUGAGACAACAACAACUCCAGCUCCCGAGACGACAACAACUCCAGCUCCAG